This 515-nucleotide ribosomal RNA is filed under the name uncultured bacterium. RNAcentral describes it as "bacterial SSU rRNA". It matches the Rfam family "Bacterial small subunit ribosomal RNA", at positions 37 to 571 of the family's 1533-position model. The record is from RNAcentral.
UGGCGGCGUGCCUACACAUGCAAGUCGAACGAGAAAGUCCCGCAAGGGAUGAGUACAGUGGCGCACGGGUGAGUAACACGUGACUAACCUACCUUCGAGUGGGGAAUAACCUCGGGAAACCGGGGCUAAUACCGCAUAACAUCAUCGGGUGAAAUUCCUGCUGAUCAAAAGUUUUUUGCUUGAAGAGGGGGUCGCGGCUGAUUAGCUAGUUGGUGAGGUGAUGGCUCACCAAGGCGAUGAUCAGUAGCCGGCCUGAGAGGGCGCACGGCCACACUGGAACUGAAACACGGUCCAGACUCCUACGGGAGGCAGCAGUGGGGAAUUUUGCGCAAUGGGGGAAACCCUGACGCAGCAACGCCGCGUGGAGGAUGAAGUCCCUUGGGACGUAAACUCCUUUCGACCGGGACGAAUUAUGACGGUACCGGAAGAAGAAGCCCCGGCUAACUUCGUGCCAGCAGCCGCGGUAAUACGAGGGGGGCAAGCGUUGUUCGGAAUUAUUGGGCGUAAAGGGCGCG